GGACAGAUGGGUGAGCUGGCUGAAACCACAUCCCUGCUAAGGAUGCGUAUGGGUAACUGUACCGAGGGUUCGAAUCCCUCUCUGUCCACCA
RNAcentral lists this transfer RNA (91 nucleotides) under Pseudomonadales bacterium. Its description in RNAcentral is "tRNA-Ser". It matches the Rfam family "tRNA". From Rfam's summary of the family: Transfer RNA (tRNA) molecules are approximately 80 nucleotides in length. Their secondary structure includes four short double-helical elements and three loops (D, anti-codon, and T loops). Further hydrogen bonds mediate the characteristic L-shaped molecular structure. tRNAs have two regions of fundamental functional importance: the anti-codon, which is responsible for specific mRNA codon recognition, and the 3' end, to which the tRNAs corresponding amino acid is attached (by aminoacyl-tRNA synthetases). tRNAs cope with the degeneracy of the genetic code in two manners: having more than one tRNA (with a specific anti-codon) for a particular amino acid; and 'wobble' base-pairing, i.e. permitting non-standard base-pairing at the 3rd anti-codon position. Lineage: Bacteria; Pseudomonadati; Pseudomonadota; Gammaproteobacteria; Pseudomonadales. The record is from RNAcentral. RNAcentral also lists the same sequence under 2 other names.